GGAAUACCCGCUGAACUUAAGCAUAUCAAUAAGCGGAGGAAAAGAAACCAACAGGGAUUGCCCCAGUAACGGCGAGUGAAGCGGCAACAGCUCAAAUUUGAAAUCUGGCUCUCGGGCCCGAGUUGUAAUUUGUAGAGGAUGCUUUUGGUGAGGUGCCUUCCGAGUUCCCUGGAACGGGACGCCAUAGAGGGUGAGAGCCCCGUCUGGUUGGACACCGAUCCUCUGUAAAGCUCCUUCGACGAGUCGAGUAGUUUGGGAAUGCUGCUCUAAAUGGGAGGUAUAUGUCUUCUAAAGCUAAAUACCGGCCAGAGACCGAUAGCGCACAAGUAGAGUGAUCGAAAGAUGAAAAGAACUUUGAAAAGAGAGUUAAAAAGUACGUGAAAUUGUUGAAAGGGAAGCGCUUGUGACCAGACUUGGGCUUGGUUGAUCAUCCGGGGUUCUCCCCGGUGCACUCUUCCGGCUCAGGCCAGCAUCAGUUCGCCCUGGGGGAUAAAGGCUUCGGGAAUGUGGCUCUCUCCGGGGAGUGUUAUAGCCCG
RNAcentral lists this ribosomal RNA (536 nucleotides) under Fusarium solani. RNAcentral describes it as "partial large subunit ribosomal RNA". It matches the Rfam family "Eukaryotic large subunit ribosomal RNA", at positions 19 to 565 of the family's 3401-position model. The record is from RNAcentral. Lineage: Eukaryota; Fungi; Ascomycota; Sordariomycetes; Hypocreales; Nectriaceae.